This is a long non-coding RNA of Erpetoichthys calabaricus (reedfish), 1875 nucleotides long. RefSeq lists it as uncharacterized. The transcript has 4 exons. The record is from RefSeq and is a predicted model, not a curated record. NCBI's taxonomy places the organism in Eukaryota, Metazoa, Chordata, Cladistia, Polypteriformes, Polypteridae.
CGACACAAGUCACUCGUCAGGUUUGAAUUGUACUUGCAAGUCAUUUUUGUGUUGACGUUUAUCUCCGUCUGUAAGUGGACUUCUUACUGGAAAAGGUGAUAACUUUUGAAUUUUAUAACGUCUUGGAAGAAUAUGUGUUGCCUGAAAAUUUUAACUCCAUUCGAAUGAAGAGGGAGCGAAUUGAAAUGCGACGUAUGUCUGUGAACUUUAUAAUGGAUACGUAUAGCUUUUUGAUGCCCAGUGGUAACCAGCCUUCCAUGUGGCUGAACAGAUGCCAGUGUAUCCGAAUUCUGAGACACAACUGGAUGUCCUUUUCUUCUGCUUUUAAGAUUCCCAAUUUGAGAUGAUGUGUAGUUCAUGUUAGAUUUGCUAUUUCUACAGGUAAGACUAGUGAGAGUGUGAAUCCUCACAAACACAGAGACUGAGGUGCAUCAGUCCCAGCAGUCACUAAACAGCAAUGUUGUUCUGUUUUGCAAAAUAACAUUUAUUUUCUUAAGUUACUGUGCUUUUGUUGUUGGAUUUUGAAAGAACUGAGACUUAAUUUUAACUUAAAACAAAACUAAGGUAGGAGAGAAAAACGAAGAUGUUUUCAUGUAGGUACCGACACCUGAGCACAACACAUUAGAAGUUCAGAUAUAAAGAGAUUGUAACACAAUAUCUACUGUAUCCAUAAUGUAAAAGGGAAAAAUGAUGCUACAUAUAAUGACAAUUAAGUCGGGGUGCUUUCAACAUCCAACAAAAAACCACAAUAAUUUAAAAACAUAUUAUUAGUUACACUUUACUCUAAGCAGAACUUUAUCUAUUGUGAUGGUUUACUUUGGUAAUAAUUGAUCUACAGGUGUACCAAGGAAGGAGGCAGAACAAAAAGGGUACACUUUAUUAAUGUUUGAACUCCGUGAGUGAAUAUCUACUGUGUUUAUGUUUUUAACAGUUACAGUGAAGUAGAAGAGUCUGGCCGUGUUAUGGAGCAGCAGUUAAAGGAGGAAGGAGAGAUAUGUGCCAUGUUGAAGUAGCAGCUGACCCUCCUGCCCGGCACUUCUAGAAUCCUCCAUCUCAAUCUCUGCUCUGAUCUGCUGUGUCUUUGCCAAGUGAUCACGACUUUAUUGCAGUGGUGUCUCCCUGCGUCUCCACUGUCUGUUAAAUCAACUCCAACUGCCUAUGACAGAAGAAAAGUUCACAAGGCAUCCUGAAAUUGAACUGUGAUUGGAGUGAGACUGCCACAAUUAUGUAUGCUGGGAUGUGCAGAGGGGGCUGUGUGGGCUUUGGCUUGGGACCCCCAGAGGUUUAUUAUCUCUGGCAACCUUGAUAGCAGCAAGUUUGUGUUUGUCCUCAGCCAUUUGACCAGGAAGUAUAUUUAAUACAAAGGACAAGGACCCCUCCAUUUGCUUCUUAUUUACUUUUAUAAUACCUUCAAUUUUCUUUGUAACUGUAUAUUUUUGUAGAGCAAUUUGAGCAACACUUGUAAACAAAGGUGAUAUAAAAAUAUUCUUAGUGAACAAAUGUUAAGGGACAGAUCAGGAAAAAUGUCUAAAUGUUUAGCUUAAAUAGAACAAUGUUUUAUGAAAUAUUGCUGGAUAACAACUCUUUGACUCUGAGUAGCAUCUUGUUCAUAAAGCUAAAAUAGCAUUUUUCCUUUUUUGACAAAUUUAAUGAUUCACUUUUAUUGUGUUCAAAACCUUGGCUAACAUUUUUUUUUAAAAUACUAAGGUAAAAAUCUGUAAAUAUAUUUGUGUUCUCCUUCCCUAAUAGUUUUUAACACCUCCCCUUGUUGGCCAUUUUCAUUGUAGUUGUGAUCUAGUUAAAUGCAUUUACCAUUUAUACAUCUUUAUGAUUACUGAAUUUCCUACUCAUAAUAUACAUACAGUAUCUAUACUA